AUACGUAGGGGGCGAGCGUUGUCCGGAAUGAUUGGGCGUAAAGGGCGCGUAGGCGGCCCGGUAAGUCUGGAGUGAAAGUCCUGUUUUUGAGAUGGGAAUUGCUUUGGAGACUGUCGGGCUUGAGUGCAGGAGAGGUAAGUGGAAUUCCCAGUGUAGCGGUGAACUGCGUAGAGAUUGGGAGGAACACCAGUGGCGAAGGCGACUUACUGGACUGUAACUGACGCUGAGGCGCGAACGUGUGGGGAGCAAACAGGAUUAGAUACCCUGGUAGUUCACACUGUAAACGAUGAAUGCUAGGUGUAGGGGGUAUCGACCCCUUCUGUGCCGCAGUCAACACAAUAAGCAUUCCGCCUGGGGAGUACGGCCGCAAGGUUGAAACUCAAAGGAAUUGACGGGG
This 397-nucleotide ribosomal RNA is filed under the name uncultured bacterium. Its description in RNAcentral is "partial 16S ribosomal RNA". It matches the Rfam family "Bacterial small subunit ribosomal RNA", at positions 523 to 918 of the family's 1533-position model. The record is from RNAcentral.